AAAUAUAAUCCUGGAUCUAGUGUUCAUAUAGCGGUUGGCUCUGCGGAUCAUCAUAUUCAUUAUUAUGACUUGAGGAACACCAGCCAGCCGGUUCACAUUUUUAGUGGCCAUAGAAAAGCUGUUUCAUAUGUAAAAUUUUUGUCCAACAAUGAACUUGCUUCAGCAUCAACAGACAGUACUCUACGAUUGUGGGAUGUAAAAGAUAAUUUGCCGGUUCGCACGCUUAGAGGACAUACGAAUGAGAAGAACUUUGUUGGUCUCUCAGUGAACAAUGAAUUCCUGUCAUGUGGCAGUGAAACAAAUGAAGUAUUCGUGUACCAUAAGGCGAUAUCCAAACCCGUGACUUGGCAUAGAUUUGGUUCCCCAGACAUAGACGAAGCGGAUGAAGAUGCAGGAUCUUAUUUCAUCAGCGCAGUGUGCUGGAAGAGCGAUAGCCCUACGAUGCUAGCUGCUAAUAGCCAGGGAACUAUAAAAGUGUUAGUCCUUGCAGCUUGAUGAAGUUAAUAAAGCUACUAGUUAAGAAUGUUCAAAUCUUUUUAGUGGAAAAACAGUGAAAUGGAAUUUCACAUUCAAUUUUUCUUCUGUAGAUAUCUAUUCAACCAUCAAGAUGGCAUGGUUCCCCCCAUAUUUGUCAAUGUAUUCAUCAUUAAAACAUGUAACACAAGUUGUAGGGCUUGGUAAAUUU
This 685-nucleotide unclassified non-coding RNA is filed under the name Hevea brasiliensis (rubber tree). Lineage: Eukaryota; Viridiplantae; Streptophyta; Magnoliopsida; Malpighiales; Euphorbiaceae. The record is from RNAcentral.